Molecule: long non-coding RNA, 752 nt
Organism: Metopolophium dirhodum (rose-grain aphid)
Lineage: Eukaryota; Metazoa; Arthropoda; Insecta; Hemiptera; Aphididae
Exons: 3
Source: RefSeq, a predicted model, not a curated record
GAAUACGAUCUAUUUAAAUCGUGCGUGGACCGCGAUCUUAUCAUUAUGUACAUAGUCGUGUAAAUACUCGUGUUCAAUUUAGCAUCCAUUCAAUUUGCAGUUAUAGAGACCAACGAGCUACAACGUCUAUAGCAAAUAUUGAUCUAAGUGCUUUGCAAAAAUCUCACGGUGAACAUAAUCUGACGACAAGCUGUACUAUAUAUCUCUAAGCCGAAAUGAAUGGCCACGCGAAACUUCUGAUUUUUGCCUUUUUGUUGAUUCUGUCGGUAAGCCAAGUAUUGGGGUGCAGAGGCCAAUGUUGGGAAGAUGUUAAGCCUCGUGACGAUUUUUGUUCGGAAAUAUUCAGAUACCAAUACACUACUAUGGAACCGGCAAAUGUGUUGUGUUACUGUUGCAGAAGAUUAUGAACAAUGAUGCAAUACACGUCGUAUCAACUGCAGAAACUUAAGAUAGGCACUACUGUAUAAUAUAAUAAUACUGAAAAGAAAUUCAGAAACAUAAUUUGAUAAAACAAAAACCAUCUCCGCUUAAAGAUUAUAUUUUAUUUUAAAAUGUUUAUUAUAAUAUAAUAAUAACACUAUGAAGGUAUUCUUUGUAUCAAUAGUAUGUUUAAAUUUUUACCUCGAAUGACAUUGUGAUUUAUACUAGGAAUACGUUUUUACUAAUUAUUAUCACACUAAGAUUUAAAUUACUGUAUUUGAUAAUGUUUUGAAAUAUUAGUUUUAUAGUAUAAUAAAUGCAAUAUACCUAAU